UACGGGGGGGGCAAGCGUUGUUCGGAAUUACUGGGCGUAAAGGGCCAGUAGGCGGCCAACUAAGUCGGAUGUGAAAUCCCCAGGCUUAACCUGGGAACUGCAUCCGAUACUGGAUGGCUUGAAUUCGGGAGAGGGAUGCAGAAUUCCAGGUGUAGCGGUGAAAUGCGUAGAUAUCUGGAGGAAUACCGGUGGCGAAGGCGGCAUCCUGGACCGACAUUGACGCUGAACGGCGAAAGCUAGGGGGGCAAACGGG
This 253-nucleotide ribosomal RNA is filed under the name uncultured bacterium. Its description in RNAcentral is "partial 16S ribosomal RNA". It matches the Rfam family "Bacterial small subunit ribosomal RNA", at positions 524 to 776 of the family's 1533-position model. The record is from RNAcentral.